UACGUAGGUGGCAAGCGUUGUCCGGAAUUAUUGGGCGUAAAGGGCUCGCAGGCGGUUUCUUAAGUCUGAUGUGAAAGCCCCCCGGCUCAACCGGGGAGGGUCAUUGGAAACUGGGAAACUUGAGUGCAGAAGAGGAGAGUGGAAUUCCACGUGUAGCGGUGAAAUGCGUAGAGAUGUGGAGGAACACCAGUGGCGAAGGCGACUCUCUGGUCUGUAACUGACGCUGAGGAGCGAAAGCGUGGGGAGCGAACAGG
Molecule: ribosomal RNA, 254 nt
Filed under: uncultured bacterium
Lineage: Bacteria
Description: partial 16S ribosomal RNA
Rfam family: Bacterial small subunit ribosomal RNA
Source: RNAcentral